AGAGUUUGAUCCUGGCUCAGGAUGAACGCUGGCGGCGUGCUUAACGCAUGCAAGUCGAACGAACCUUCGGGUUAGUGGCGGACGGGUGAGUAACGCGUGAGAAUCUGCCCUCAGGAGGGGGAUAACGGCUGGAAACGGCCGCUAAUACCCCAUAUGCCGAGAGGUGAAAUGAAUUUCGCCUGAGGAUGAGCUCGCGUCUGAUUAGCUAGUUGGUAGGGUAAAGGCCUACCAAGGCUUCGAUCAGUAGCUGGUCUGAGAGGAUGAUCAGCCACACUGGGACUGAGACACGGCCCAGACUCCUACGGGAGGCAGCAGUGGGGAAUUUUCCGCAAUGGGCGAAAGCCUGACGGAGCAACGCCGCGUGAGGGAUGAAGGCCUCUGGGCUGUAAACCUCUUUUAUCAAGGAAGAAGAUCUGACGGUACUUGAUGAAUAAGCCACGGCUAAUUCCGUGCCAGCAGCCGCGGUAAUACGGGAGUGGCAAGCGUUAUCCGGAAUUAUUGGGCGUAAAGCGUCCGCAGGCGGUCUUACAAGUCUGUCGUUAAAGCGUGGAGCUUAACUCCAUUUCAGCGAUGGAAACUGUAAGACUAGAGUGUGGUAGGGGCAGAGGGAAUUCCCGGUGUAGCGGUGAAAUGCGUAGAUAUCGGGAAGAACACCAGUGGCGAAGGCGCUCUGCUGGGCCAUAACUGACGCUCAUGGACGAAAGCCAGGGGAGCGAAAGGGAUUAGAUACCCCUGUAGUCCUGGCCGUAAACGAUGAACACUAGGUGUCGGGGGAAUCGACCCCCUCGGUGUCGUAGCCAACGCGUUAAGUGUUCCGCCUGGGGAGUACGCACGCAAGUGUGAAACUCAAAGGAAUUGACGGGGGCCCGCACAAGCGGUGGAGUAUGUGGUUUAAUUCGAUGCAACGCGAAGAACCUUACCAGGGUUUGACAUCCUGCGAAUCCCUUGGAAACGAGGGAGUGCCUUCGGGAACGCAGUGACAUGUGGUGCAUGGCUGUCGUCAGCUCGUGUCGUGAGAUGUUGGGUUAAGUCCCGCAACGAGCGCAACCCACGUCUUUAGUUGCCAGCAUUUAGUUGGGCACUCUAGAGAGACUGGCGGUGAUAAACCGGAGGAAGGUGUGGAUGACGUCAAGUCAUCAUGCCCCUUACAUCCUGGGCUACACACGUACUACAAUGCUACGGACAAAGGGCAGCAAACUCGCGAGAGCUAGCAAAUCCCAUAAACCGUGGCUCAGUUCAGAUCGUAGGCUGCAACUCGCCUACGUGAAGGAGGAAUCGCUAGUAAUCGCAGGUCAGCAUACUGCGGUGAAUACGUUCCCGGGCCUUGUACACACCGCCCGUCACACCAUGGAAGUUGGCCACGCCCGAAGUCGUUACUCCAACCCUUGUGGAGGAGGAUGCCGAAGGUGGGGCUGAUGACUGGGGUGAAGUCGAAACAAGGUA
This 1443-nucleotide ribosomal RNA is filed under the name metagenome. Its description in RNAcentral is "bacterial SSU rRNA". It matches the Rfam family "Bacterial small subunit ribosomal RNA". The record is from RNAcentral.